This 328-nucleotide ribosomal RNA is filed under the name Cyclophora tenuis. RNAcentral describes it as "partial Bacterial large subunit ribosomal RNA". It matches the Rfam family "Bacterial large subunit ribosomal RNA", at positions 1293 to 1625 of the family's 2925-position model. The record is from RNAcentral. Lineage: Eukaryota; Bacillariophyta; Fragilariophyceae; Cyclophorales; Cyclophoraceae.
AAUGCUGACAUGAGUAACGAUAAUGGGGGUGAAAAACCCCCACGCCGGAAGACCAAGGGUUCCUAUCCCAUGCUAAUCAGGGUAGGGUGAGUCGGCCCCUAAGGCGAGGCGGAGACGCGUAGUCGAUGGGAAACAGAUUAAUAUUUCUGUACUUUCAAUCAUUGCGAUGGGGGGACGGAGGAGGCUAGGCAGGCAUGGCGUUGGUUGUCCAUGUGAAAGUGCGUAGGCUGGUGACUUAGGUAAAUCCGGGUUGCUAAGGUCGAGACACGAGACGACGCUCUACGGAGCGGAAGCUGUUGAUGCCAUACUUCCAGGAAAAGCCUCUAAG